RNAcentral lists this non-coding RNA (148 nucleotides) under Chlorocebus sabaeus (green monkey). The record is from Rfam by way of RNAcentral. Lineage: Eukaryota; Metazoa; Chordata; Mammalia; Primates; Cercopithecidae.
GCCAGGCAUGGUGGUGUGUGCCUGUAGUCCCAGCUACUGAGGAGGCCGAGGCAGGAGAAUUGCUUGAACUCAGGAGGUGCAGGUUGCAGUGAACCAAGAUUGUGCCACUGCACUCUAACCUGGGUGACAGAGCAAGACUCUGUCUCAA